RNAcentral lists this ribosomal RNA (497 nucleotides) under uncultured bacterium. Its description in RNAcentral is "bacterial SSU rRNA". It matches the Rfam family "Bacterial small subunit ribosomal RNA", at positions 418 to 917 of the family's 1533-position model. The record is from RNAcentral.
AUGGGUUGUAAACUGCUUUUGUAUGGGGAUAAAGUUAGGGACGUGUCCCUAUUUGCAGGUACCAUACGAAUAAGGACCGGCUAAUUCCGUGCCAGCAGCCGCGGUAAUACGGAAGGUCCAGGCGUUAUCCGGAUUUAUUGGGUUUAAAGGGAGCGUAGGCUGGAGAUUAAGUGUGUUGUGAAAUGUAGACGCUCAACGUCUGAAUUGCAGCGCAUACUGGUUUCCUUGAGUACGCACAACGUUGGCGGAAUUCGUCGUGUAGCGGUGAAAUGCUUAGAUAUGACGAAGAACUCCGAUUGCGAAGGCAGCUGACGGGAGCGCAACUGACGCUUAAGCUCGAAGGUGCGGGUAUCAAACAGGAUUAGAUACCCUGGUAGUCCGCACAGUAAACGAUGGAUGCCCGCUGUUGGUACCUGGUAUCAGCGGCUAAGCGAAAGCAUUAAGCAUCCCACCUGGGGAGUACGCCGGCAACGGUGAAACUCAAAGGAAUUGACGGA